RNAcentral lists this transfer RNA (76 nucleotides) under Allostella humosa. Its description in RNAcentral is "Stella humosa tRNA-Glu". It matches the Rfam family "tRNA". Rfam says of the family: Transfer RNA (tRNA) molecules are approximately 80 nucleotides in length. Their secondary structure includes four short double-helical elements and three loops (D, anti-codon, and T loops). RNAcentral also lists the same sequence under 565 other names. Lineage: Bacteria; Pseudomonadati; Pseudomonadota; Alphaproteobacteria; Rhodospirillales; Allostellaceae. The record is from RNAcentral.
GUCCCCAUCGUCUAGAGGCCUAGGACACCGCCCUUUCACGGCGGUAACAGGGGUUCGAAUCCCCUUGGGGACGCCA